ACCAGGUCAUAUUCACUGAGUGGUUUAAUAGACCAGGUCAUAUCCACUGAGGGGUUUAAUAGACCAGGUCAUAUCCACUGAGGGGUUUAAUAGACCAGGUCAUAUUCACUGAGGGGUUUAAUAGACCAGGUCAUAUUCACUGAGGGGUUUAAUAGACCAGGUCAUAUUCAUAUUCACUGAGGGGUUUAAUAGACCAGGUCAUAUUCACUGAGGGGUUUAAUAGACCAGGUCAUAUUCAUAUUCACUGAGGGGUUUAAUAGACCAGGUCAUAUCCACUGAGGGGUUUAAUAGACCAGGUCAUAUUCACUGAGGGGUUUAAUAGACCAGGUCAUAUUCACUGAGUGGUUUAAUAGACCAGGUCAUAUCCACUGAGGGGUUUAAUAGACCAGGUCAUAUUCACUGAGGGGUUUAAUAGACCAGGUCAUAUUCACUGAGGGGUUUAAUAGACCAGGUCAUAUUCACUGAGUGGUUUAAUAGACCAGGUCAUAUUCAUAUCCACUGAGGGGUUUAAUAGACCAGGUCAUAUUCAUAUCCACUGAGGGGUUUAAUAGACCAGGUCAUAUUCACUGAGGGGUUUAAUAGACCAGGUCAUAUUCACUGAGGGGUUUAAUAGACCAGGUCAUAUUCACUGAGGGGUUUAAUAGACCAGGUCAUAUCCACUGAGGGGUUUAAUAGACCAGGUCAUAUUCACUGAGGGGUUUAAUAGACCAGGUCAUAUUCACGGAGGGGUUUAAUAGACCAGGUCAUAUUCACUGAGGGGUUUAAUAGACCAGGUCAUAUCCACUGAGUGGUUUAAUAGACCAGGUCAUAUUCAUAUCCACUGAGUGGUUUAAUAGACCAG
This is a long non-coding RNA of Oncorhynchus keta (chum salmon), 841 nucleotides long. RefSeq lists it as uncharacterized. NCBI's taxonomy places the organism in Eukaryota, Metazoa, Chordata, Actinopteri, Salmoniformes, Salmonidae. The transcript has 7 exons. The record is from RefSeq and is a predicted model, not a curated record.